Molecule: long non-coding RNA, 288 nt
Filed under: Mus spicilegus (steppe mouse)
Lineage: Eukaryota; Metazoa; Chordata; Mammalia; Rodentia; Muridae
Description: lncRNA (ENSMSIG00000024302.1)
Source: RNAcentral
CUUUCUCAGAACCACCUGGGCUCACUUGAGAUUCGUGGCCUUGAUUGUUUCAAGACUCCACCACGCUGCCUCUCCUGCUCUGGUGUGUCUUCCUCUGCCGGCUGCAGCCUAAAUACUGCCUCUCUAGAUCUCACCCACCACUUCCUGCUUCCAGAAAAUCAAAGCAGAAUGUCCCUGGACUUCAAGGGAGGAACUGCUUCUAACAGAGGGGACAAGAGAAACAGACUCCGCCCUUCUCCUCCAGGGCCAGGGACAUCCAGGUGCCCUCCUGCUUUCUGACCUUUGGCA